Molecule: non-coding RNA, 1844 nt
Organism: Nicotiana tabacum (common tobacco)
Lineage: Eukaryota; Viridiplantae; Streptophyta; Magnoliopsida; Solanales; Solanaceae
Source: RefSeq, a predicted model, not a curated record
GCCGUUUCCUCUGAAAAAGAUCAACUAAAGAGAAUACAAAAAAUGAGAGCCUAAGACCUAAGAGCAAAAAUACACAAAAAUGGGAGAACCUAAGAGAUCGGUCGUUUCUUGAUUUUAGGAGGGGACAAAAACUCUUCAUCUUCUUCCUAUUCUUUGAAAACAAAAGAACAACAAAAGAGAUCUCUAAAGCAAAAUCUUAGGACCGCCGCUAAUACACAAAGACCCCUCCCCCACCGAGCUUCUUCUUCUUCUUCAAUGAAAGACAAGCACCAUUCGUUUGAUUCUAACCUAGAGAGCUUUCAUUUUCCUAGAAACAUCAGAACCAUCUCCUUCUCAAAAAUCAAAUGUCACAGUCAUCUCUUCUUUGAAUAGAGAUGAAGGAUCUCUUUUCCUAAUUUUGAAAGAACAAAACCGGCGACCACCCCUGUCAUCAUCUUCAGCCACGCCACCCUUCCGAAACCCACCGGAAAAACUCAGUGGAACACUGCUCCAAGCCCACACCUUCUUCACAAAACAGUCACACAUAUACUCACGAGAGAGACAGAAAAUCGGGAUAGAGGGAGAGGAGAAAAGUUCUAGACGAACUUCGAUUGAGGUUUGGUUCUGAGUUCGUUCACCGAUUGGAGAGUUCCAUUGCCAAAUCGAGUUUCGCCAACUGGUUCACGGUCUCAGCUUCAUUCUUUGGCUUUAUUGUUGAUUUCUCUCGACUUUUCGCUGUUGUAUUCACUUGAGGUGAUUCCGAGCAGAAAUAAAUUGAAAUCUCACUUUCAGAUCUGAACGCUUAUGUUUUAUAUGAUCGAUUCGAGCUCGGCAUGGCAACGUAGUUAUUGGAGGGAUCAUGAAAUCAGUGAUGACUUGCUUGCAAUUUUCAUAAGUGUUUCGGCAUGUUCGUGUCAACUUUAAGUUGUUAGACUGUCACUAGAUAUUCUUUAUGUGUUUGUUGAACUAGUUUAGUCAUUCCAACAUUUUGAAGCAUGUCUCGUUGUGCUUAAAUCAGUUUGGUUGAUCAUUGUCGUCAUUUUAGGUACGAAAUAUCGAUGUCAUUGUUCGUGAUCUUCUUGGAAUAUUUGGAGGUUGUUUCUGUUAGCUUGACUUGAGAAAUGAUCUUGAGUCCCUGUUGAUUGUAUGUUUGGCGAUGUACAGAUCGAUCUAUACUUUUGUGAUAAAACAUUGAAGUUCUGUGUAUGUCGAGGUUCGAUACGGCAAUGCCUUAGUUUUCGAUUUCAUGAAAUUGGUUUUGUUUACCUUGUUAAGUUUGAACAUUGGUAUUAGGUUUGCUUGGAAUUUUACAUAUGGAUAUGGAAUCUGUGUAAUUAACCUCCCUGUUCUAGUUUUGAUUGAUUUAGUGGCUGAUUUUUCGGACCAUUCUGUGUUCAUUGCGAGUGUUUGUGAAAGAACCGAGUGCGCGAUGUUGCAUUUAUUCGUAUUUCCAUUGUCCACGUCUUCUGGAAUCCCGCAUCUAUUUUCCUUCUAAAUAAAUGCUCGACAUGUAUUUGGUGUUUGAUUGUGGAAGGCAAUUUGAUCAAGCGAAUUGUGUACUAAUUUGGCGCACCAACUGUUGGUGUAAGUUUGUGACAUCUUCCAAAAGUUGUACUCUUAUUCUAAAUACACGUAGUAGCAAUUUGAAAUCAAGUUCGUCAUCAAAAUACCACUUGAGCAGUAAGCAUCGAUGUGCACGAGUUUAGUCGGUGUAGAUUGCAAUCUGGAUUGUUUCGUUCUAUGUCUGUAUUUCAUUUGCUUCUUUCAGCUAUUUUCCCUAGUUUGAUUGAGCUAUAACUGGACAAACUUGAAAUCCUUAAUGGAGAAAUAUCUACUUCCAACUUUAUAUUUUUCUUCCUUCUCAA